RNAcentral lists this non-coding RNA (82 nucleotides) under unclassified sequences. RNAcentral describes it as "chrB RNA". It matches the Rfam family "chrB-a RNA". The record is from RNAcentral.
CGCAUGGGGACUGCGAUCACCCCACGAGGCCCCGGCCGAAGCAUCGCGUCCACUCAUCCAUUCAUGGAGAGGACGCGUCAUG